Molecule: ribosomal RNA, 395 nt
Filed under: uncultured bacterium
Lineage: Bacteria
Description: partial 16S ribosomal RNA
Rfam family: Bacterial small subunit ribosomal RNA
Source: RNAcentral
AUACGUAGGGUGCAAGCGUUAAUCGGAAUUACUGGGCGUAAAGCGUGCGCAGGCGGUUUUGUAAGACAGAGGGGAAAUACCCGGGCUCAACCUGGGAACUGCCAUUGUUACUGCAAAGCUGGAGUGCGGGAGAGGGGGGUGGAAUUCCGGGUGUAGCGCGGAAAUGCGUAGAUAUGCGGAGGAACACCGAUGGCGAAGGCAAUCCCCUGGGCCUGCACUGACGCUCAUGCACGAAAGCGUGGGGAGCAAACAGGAUUAGAUACCCUGGUAGUCCACGCCCUAAACGAUGUCAACCGGUUGUUGGGGAUUUAUUUUCUCAGUAACGAAGCUAACGCGUGAAGUUGACCGCCUGGGGAGUACGGCCGCAAGGUUAAAACUCAAAGGAAUUGACGGGG